RNAcentral lists this ribosomal RNA (631 nucleotides) under Salmonella enterica. RNAcentral describes it as "partial 23S ribosomal RNA". It matches the Rfam family "Bacterial large subunit ribosomal RNA", at positions 2211 to 2836 of the family's 2925-position model. The record is from RNAcentral. Lineage: Bacteria; Pseudomonadati; Pseudomonadota; Gammaproteobacteria; Enterobacterales; Enterobacteriaceae. RNAcentral also lists the same sequence under 1 other name.
UGUUUGAUGUUCUAACGUGGACCCGUGAUCCGGGUUGCGGACAGUGUCUGGUGGGUAGUUUGACUGGGGCGGUCUCCUCCUAAAGAGUAACGGAGGAGCACGAAGGUUGGCUAAUCCUGGUCGGACAUCAGGAGGUUAGUGCAAUGGCAUAAGCCAGCUUGACUGCGAGCGUGACGGCGCGAGCAGGUGCGAAAGCAGGUCAUAGUGAUCCGGUGGUUCUGAAUGGAAGGGCCAUCGCUCAACGGAUAAAAGGUACUCCGGGGAUAACAGGCUGAUACCGCCCAAGAGUUCAUAUCGACGGCGGUGUUUGGCACCUCGAUGUCGGCUCAUCACAUCCUGGGGCUGAAGUAGGUCCCAAGGGUAUGGCUGUUCGCCAUUUAAAGUGGUACGCGAGCUGGGUUUAGAACGUCGUGAGACAGUUCGGUCCCUAUCUGCCGUGGGCGCUGGAGAACUGAGGGGGGCUGCUCCUAGUACGAGAGGACCGGAGUGGACGCAUCACUGGUGUUCGGGUUGUCAUGCCAAUGGCACUGCCCGGUAGCUAAAUGCGGAAGAGAUAAGUGCUGAAAGCAUCUAAGCACGAAACUUGCCCCGAGAUGAGUUCUCCCUGAGACUUAGAGUCUCCUGAAGGAAC